RNAcentral lists this long non-coding RNA (1060 nucleotides) under Salmo salar (Atlantic salmon). Its description in RNAcentral is "lncRNA (ENSSSAG00000100575.1)". Lineage: Eukaryota; Metazoa; Chordata; Actinopteri; Salmoniformes; Salmonidae. The record is from RNAcentral.
CAGAUUUGUAAAAAAUAAAACCUUUUUUUGGUGUAGAUAACAUUUACCAGACAGAAUGAAGAAAUGAACGGCUAAUUCAAUUGUUUUGUUUUCAUUUUAGUAACAUCUUUCAUGGUAAAUACAUGGAUCUUAUUAACGAAAUAAAACAUUUAAAUACUUAACUUGCUCUAAAAUAACUUGACAGAGUCACACUCGUAAAACAUGUGUAUAAUAGCUUCCCCUUCUUUAUCACAGAAAAUGCAUCAUUAUGUUCUCUAAGUCCAUGAAUUUAGACAAGUUAUUGCAAGGGUAUAUUUUGAACAAGAUUUUAAAGGGAGCAACCAAGCUUUCUUCCAUUCAAUUUCAGUAGAUCUAUGAAUUCCAGAAGAAUUUCCCUCUAUGAGGGAUCUUGUUCAUGGAGUUCAAGUUAUCUUAAGAAUGUAUUACAUUUCUUAUCCAGCAGGGGGCAACCUUUUAACAUUGUGCAUCUAUCAUGACAUGUUCUCCAAAGCAAAAAAUGCGAUUUAAUUAAGUCCUGAAGGUAUUGGUUUGAAUAUAGAAUUACAUCAUUACUGUAUUUUUACAACUAUCGUAGGUUUAUACAAUUGUAACCCCUUAUUUUAGGUACUUACAUUUUUUAAACUCAAUUCAUAUGUAGUGAUUUGUAUUUAUUUUUUUACUUUUUGUUUCUUCAGAUAAAAUAUAUGCGUAGUGAUGUCCUAUGUAUUUUUUGUGGUAUUAUAAUAUAUACAAUUGAUUUAGUGAAGGCGGAGGCACUUGGUCAUGGCUAGAAGGGACCCAGCGUUUGUCAAAUUAACGUCAGAUUUGAUUUAUUUUAAGCAGGUUAGGAGAACACACUGCAGGUUCAGGUUAGGAGAACACGCUGCAGGUUAGGAGAACACGCCGCAGGUUAGGAGAACACGCUGCUGGUUCAGGUUAGGAGAACACGCUGCAGGUUAGGAGAACACGCCGCAGGUUAGGAGAACACGCUGCAGGUUAGGAGAACACGCUGCAGGUUAGGAGAACACGCUGCAGGUUCAGGUUAGGAGAACACGCUGCAGGUUAGGAGAACACGCCGCAG